This 300-nucleotide ribosomal RNA is filed under the name uncultured Paracoccaceae bacterium. Its description in RNAcentral is "bacterial SSU rRNA". It matches the Rfam family "Bacterial small subunit ribosomal RNA", at positions 114 to 431 of the family's 1533-position model. The record is from RNAcentral. Lineage: Bacteria; Pseudomonadati; Pseudomonadota; Alphaproteobacteria; Rhodobacterales; Paracoccaceae.
CGCGUGGGAACGUGCCCUUCUCUACGGAAUAGCCAUUGGAAACGAUGAGUAAUACCGUAUACGCCCUUUGGGGGAAAGAUUUAUCGGAGAAGGAUCGGCCCGCGUUAGAUUAGAUAGUUGGUGGGGUAACGGCCUACCAAGUCUACGAUCUAUAGCUGGUUUUAGAGGAUGAUCAGCAACACUGGGACUGAGACACGGCCCAGACUCCUACGGGAGGCAGCAGUGGGGAAUCUUAGACAAUGGGCGCAAGCCUGAUCUAGCCAUGCCGCGUGUGUGAUGAAGGCCCUAGGAUCGUAAAGC